Long non-coding RNA from Strigops habroptila (Kakapo), 518 nucleotides. RefSeq lists it as uncharacterized. Lineage: Eukaryota; Metazoa; Chordata; Aves; Psittaciformes; Psittacidae. The record is from RefSeq and is a predicted model, not a curated record. The transcript has 2 exons.
CUCCCCGCCGCCUGGCCCGGCUCCGCGGCUCCCCGCCCGCUCUCGCCCCGCUCCCUCGGCGGGGACAGCCUGCCUCUUUAAGAAGUCUCCGCAGAUUUUCUCCCCUCGCAGAAUAAAUAAUGUAUUUUCUUUUUUUUCCUCUCCACUGUACACCUAUUUCCCCAGCGUGGCCGCUCCAUUGUUUCUGCUCCGCCGAGACGCAACCCCUGCCCGGCCGCGAACGGGGAGGUGCGAGCAGGGAGCGCAAAUGGACGCGAAACUUACCUACAGAUUGCAAAGCAGCCUUGCAGCAGCAAAAUAAUAAGGAAGAAGGCAGGCAAAAUCCUCUCUCCCCAACUGAUUUGCAGCUCUACUCGGUCUAUUUUAAGGCGGGGAAUCUCGGUUUAGUCUUCCUGAACACCAGGCACUCGGAAACCCUUCCACUCUGGAAACCGAAAGCAGGAGAAUACCUAUUCUCCCUUCUGUAUUUUUGUAUUAUUAAACAGGGGAAAACCACCCUGGAUCCGAUGUGCUCCCAA